RNAcentral lists this long non-coding RNA (644 nucleotides) under Nicotiana benthamiana. RNAcentral describes it as "long non-coding RNA (NBEN_LNC040668)". The record is from RNAcentral. Lineage: Eukaryota; Viridiplantae; Streptophyta; Magnoliopsida; Solanales; Solanaceae.
AUUAAUUUUCUCGAUCUUCAUGCAACCAAGAUAUCCAGAUCAUAAGUCCGCUACAUGAUUCUGCAUUUCUUCCAUCUUUGAUUGAAUUCAUGCAAAAGAAAGAACAAUAAAUGACUACUCUUUACAUAUGAAAAAUCAACAGACGGAUCAGUAUCAUGAUAUAAUCAAAUUUUGGACUGAACUUAAUAACUGCAAAUGGACGUGGUCGGGGAUUAAGCCGACUACAGUCUAAUGGCGAGGAGUCAUCUUAAGAAAGAUUAGCACCGAGGUCGAGCAAAGGAUGUAAGGAAGCAACGGUAGAAUCAGUUUAGAAUAGAAGGAACAGUUGUACUUUUAGGGUUUCUAAGAUAAAUAGGAAGAGAUAAAAAACAAAAAAAGUGACUUUCACUUUUCUCAUAAGAACACAUUGUAAAGGGUACAAAGAAUAUACAAAAGCAUGUCUUGUCCAUUGAACACAUUGUUCGAUAUACACUUUUACUUACAAGAUCCAAAGAUUGUUGUCGGGAAGAGAAAUCAUCCAAGUCACCUAACAUUUGGGUGAUAAAUUCCUUCUCAUUAAAUUCGUUGCUAUUAUCUAUAUUUAUUGUAGUUGGUAUACAAUAUUUUCGGAUUCUGCCCUACAUCAUCAAUACAUCUAAAUCAUA